Molecule: ribosomal RNA, 253 nt
Filed under: uncultured bacterium
Lineage: Bacteria
Description: partial 16S ribosomal RNA
Rfam family: Bacterial small subunit ribosomal RNA
Source: RNAcentral
UACGUAGGUGGCAAGCGUUGUCCGGAUUUACUGGGUGUAAAGGGCGUGUAGGCGGAGCUGCAAGUCAGAUGUGAAAUCCCGGGGCUCAACCCCGGAACUGCAUUUGAAACUGUAGCCCUUGAGUAUCGGAGAGGCAGGCGGAAUUCCUAGUGUAGCGGUGAAAUGCGUAGAUAUUAGGAGGAACACCAGUGGCGAAGGCGGCCUGCUGGACUGCAACUGACGUUGAGGCCCGAAAGCGUGGGGAGCAAACAGG